CCCACUCUCAUUAGCUACGGAUAGAAUAAUGGAGUAGUUACAGUUUCUGAAUACAAAUAUUAAGUAUUAGGAAUCAGAGGCAAAAUAUAUAUAAGCUCCAUUGCAUAUACAUGUGUUUUUCUUUUAUAAAUGUCUAGGAAGAAUGUAUCUACUUCUUUAUAUCAUCAUUUUGCAGCAAGAUUAGUCCCUGAUAAUUGGGUGGAGCAUACUUUUGUUUACUAGUUAAUCAGAUUGGUUUUUUUUUUUUUUUUUUUUUUUUUUUUUUUUAAUCAGUUUGGAGGCUGGAAGGGAGUAUAGGGUAUGCAUAACGUCAAAAUCUUCGGUGAAAAAAAAAGUCCCAGCUGAUAAUUAGUGAACAACCUUACCUUUCAGAGUUUAGUUCUUUGUGUGAUAAUUUGAAUCUUCACUUAGCCUCACCCUUUUAUUUGCUUGCAGAGUACAGAUCGACGAGGACUUGAAUACAAGAUCCAUGUUAUACUCAUUUGCCAACAUGCCAAGAUGAUCUCUUACUGUAAAUGGCAGCACUACAUCCAGCUUGAAAAGUUCAUUCUCUGUCCUAGACCUCGCGACAACUUUUAUGGCUAUUACAGCAAACUCUUUUGGUCUGUCUUCAGUAUGUGUGUUGGUGUAUCCGCUUAAAUAUUCUUCCUUUUUACAGUACUAUUCUCACUAUAUUGGUUUGCCAAGUGAAAUAAUCUAUGACAGUACUAUUCUCACUAUAUUGGUUUGCCAAGUGAAAUAAUCUAUGGCUACUUUCAUAUUUAUUACAGUACCACUAUGCUCAAAUUUAUCACUCAAUCAGCAACUUCUUUGUCUCUUGAUUUUGCUAGGAGAUUGAUUUUACGGCUCAACCUGGAAAAGUUUGUGCUACUUAUCUGUUAAAUUUUCUAAGUUUCAUAACCCUUAUGUAGAAAAUGCAAAAACGAAGCAAUAAUCACAGUAACAAUUAAGUCAAACUAUUAUGUCUGGAAACAUGUACGGUAAAUGAACAGGAUAAUAAUAUACGAGGAAUUUUAUUACAUAAAUUGCUUGGAUACGUUAUUAUGUGUGGUUUUAAUAAACUAAUAAAAGGCAAUGGUCACUAGCUCAUGUCCAUGUCGGACACAUUGUUUGGAUAAGAUAGUACAUGUAGUCUUAGUAAACAAAGUAGCUUAGUAAAAGUCAAUAGUCACCAGCUUACGUCCAUGUUAGACACAUGUGGAUACAAAACAUGAGAAAAAUAUAUUUUAUGAAGUACUGCCUCCGUCCCUAAAUGGGAGGAACUGGGGCUCCCUUUUUUUUUUUUCUGUGUGUGUAAGAGACUAAUAAUAAUUAUUAUUUCAGUGUGCCUUUACAGAAAAAUUCAUUUGUGAUGACGCAUCAAUCAGAUAUUUCAUAUGUUAUAUGAAGUGAAGCUUUUACAAUGGGAGGGAAAAUGACAAUUUGUUGCAGGUUGUUAUUGUGAUAAAAUUAAUCCAAAGAGAAUGAGUUGGAGAUGCGCACUGCAGUGCCUCAAACUACAGAUUCUCUUAUAAGCUCAAAUCCCUUGGGCUUAUGUAAGUCCAGUGAACAUGUAUGUUUACUUGAAUUUGGUUUCAUUAGUACUUUAUGUUGACUCUGGUUUUGUGGCUAAUGCUACAUUCUAAUAGUCAUCUCUGCAGUACAGAAGUCAUAGCAUCUGGCCCUUAGGCUUUAGCUUAACUUGUCUUUGCCGGAUAAGUUCUAUGUUGUUGAUGUUGAUUUUUUUUUUCCCCCUUUUGGGUGAAUGAGUUAGGUGAGGGGAGGUCUACAUACCUGACUGAUUGGAUGGUGGUAUUGGUCGCAAUUCAUACCUGACUGAUUGGAUGUCUAGAUAUUUAGAUACAUAGUUCAUCAUCAAUCAAAUUUGACUGAGUUUUAGAUUAAACCUUCCUUGGAAUUUAACCAAUGGAACUAAGAAUAUUACAUGAAACAUAUGUAUAUGCAUAAGCAUUACAUUUCCAUUUGCUCUCUGGUGUAUGUAUGAUUCUAAUUAUUUUAUGGUUGUGCAGAAACAAUGUUGGUAAUAGUUAUUUGGCAUUGAAUUUUGAGCAACAUUGUGAAGCCAUGAUGAUUUUGAGCUGCAAAGUGAUGAUAAAAAGUUUGUGACGACCUUGGGAAGAAUCUCUUGCUUUCUUACAUCUCUCAUAGAGGAGAUAUACUUAGGUGAUCACAGAUUUUAAAUCUUAACCUUGGCCUUAUGUCGUUUUGCAAUCCAAGUUACUAGAUUUACAUAUUUCUUCCUUUUCAAUGUCUUGUAAUGAAUUGCUUUACAACCCUUAAUAAAGGGGAGAAAAAUAGAGGGGGAUAUUGACUUGAAAAUAUCUGCCCUCUUGUAUUUCAGAGAAACUCCCUAGCUAAUUGGUGUUGAAUGCUGUUCAGUUUUGAAUCAAACCAGGGGUGCCUGUAAACUUGACUGAUAGUCUGCUUUGGCAUUGGUCGAAGUAUAUAUUGCCUUAAGUAUUCUCUAUUUUAUAAAUUUAUUAACAAUCAGUAGCCCUAUAAUUUAAGCCCGAAAGGAUUUCUAUUAUUUCAAUUUUCAAACAUGCUAAAUGAAUGCAUUUCUAUUACUUCAAUUUUCAAACAUGCUAAAUGAAUGGCUCUUAAGAGUUUAAUUAAUCAUCGAAUUUGAAGGGGAACCUUGCAGAUUAUAGCAUCACAAUAAGCUAUCUCUAUCUGUUUUCUUUCUCUAUUUGUAAUUUAUUAGUAACUUUUAUUUGUUAGCC
Chenopodium quinoa (quinoa) is the source of this 2723-nucleotide long non-coding RNA. RefSeq lists it as uncharacterized. NCBI's taxonomy places the organism in Eukaryota, Viridiplantae, Streptophyta, Magnoliopsida, Caryophyllales, Amaranthaceae. The record is from RefSeq and is a predicted model, not a curated record. The transcript has 3 exons.